CUGAUUACCAGCUCUAUGGGUUGAUUCGAAAGAGUCCUCGUAGAGUUGAUCAACCCUUUGUGCACUGUUUUGUUUUUUGGGUUUCGUCGUUUAGAUGAGGCCCAGCAUUUAUACAAACCAUACCAAUUUUGACUUAAUCCUAUGAAAAUAGAAA
RNAcentral lists this unclassified non-coding RNA (154 nucleotides) under uncultured fungus. RNAcentral describes it as "sequence contains ITS1, 5.8S rRNA gene". Lineage: Eukaryota; Fungi. The record is from RNAcentral.